AGAGCGAACGCUGGCGGCAUGCUUAACACAUGCAAGUCGCACGGUCAGCAAUGGCAGUGGCGGACGGGUGAGUAACGCGUAGGUAUCUAUCCACGGGUGGGGGACAACGUCGGGAAACUGACGCUAAUACCGCAUGAUACCCGAGGGUCAAAGGCGCAAGUCGCCUGUGGAGGAGCCUGCGUACGAUUAGCUUGUUGGUGGGGUAAAGGCCUACCAAGGCGACGAUCGUUAGCUGGUCUGAGAGGAUGAUCAGCCACAUUGGGACUGAGACACGGCCCAAACUCCUACGGGAGGCAGCAGUGGGGAAUAUUGGACAAUGGGCGAAAGCCUGAUCCAGCAAUGCCGCGUGUGUGAAGAAGGUCUUCGGAUUGUAAAGCACUUUCGGCGGGGACGAUGAUGACGGUACCCGCGAGAAGAAGCCCCGGCUAACUUCGCGCCAGCAGCCGC
This 447-nucleotide ribosomal RNA is filed under the name uncultured bacterium. RNAcentral describes it as "SSU rRNA". It matches the Rfam family "Bacterial small subunit ribosomal RNA", at positions 26 to 518 of the family's 1533-position model. The record is from RNAcentral.